UACGUAGGUCGCAAGCGUUGUCCGGAAUUAUUGGGCGUAAAGAGCUCGUAGGCGGUUUGUCGCGUCUGCUGUGAAAUCCCGAGGCUCAACCUCGGGCUUGCAGUGGGUACGGGCAGACUAGAGUGCGGUAGGGGAGACUGGAAUUCCUGGUGUAGCGGUGGAAUGCGCAGAUAUCAGGAGGAACACCGAUGGCGAAGGCAGGUCUCUGGGCCGCAACUGACGCUGAGGAGCGAAAGCAUGGGGAGCGAACAGG
RNAcentral lists this ribosomal RNA (253 nucleotides) under uncultured bacterium. Its description in RNAcentral is "partial 16S ribosomal RNA". It matches the Rfam family "Bacterial small subunit ribosomal RNA", at positions 524 to 776 of the family's 1533-position model. The record is from RNAcentral.